RNAcentral lists this ribosomal RNA (423 nucleotides) under uncultured Chroococcales cyanobacterium. RNAcentral describes it as "bacterial SSU rRNA". It matches the Rfam family "Bacterial small subunit ribosomal RNA", at positions 355 to 794 of the family's 1533-position model. Lineage: Bacteria; Bacillati; Cyanobacteriota; Cyanophyceae; Chroococcales. The record is from RNAcentral.
UGGGGAAUUUUCCGCAAUGGGCGAAAGCCUGACGGAGCAAUACCGCGUGAGGGAGGAAGGCUCUUGGGUUGUAAACCUCAAAACUUAGGGAAGAAAAAAAUGACGGUACCUAAUGUAAGCAUCGGCUAACUCCGUGCCAGCAGCCGCGGUAAUACGGAGGAUGCAAGCGUUAUCCGGAAUCAUUGGGCGUAAAGAGUCCGUAGGUGGCACUUCAAGUCUGCUUUCAAAGACCGAAGCUCAACUUCGGAAAGGGAGUGGAAACUGAAGAGCUAGAGUAUAGUAGGGGUAGAGGGAAUUCCUAGUGUAGCGGUGAAAUGCGUAGAGAUUAGGAAGAACACCAGUGGCGAAGGCGCUCUACUGGGUAUAUACUGACACUGAGGGACGAAAGCUAGGGGAGCGAAAGGGAUUAGAUACCCCUGUAGU